Gymnothorax javanicus (giant moray) is the source of this 74-nucleotide non-coding RNA. The record is from the annotation of a GenBank genome assembly. NCBI's taxonomy places the organism in Eukaryota, Metazoa, Chordata, Actinopteri, Anguilliformes, Muraenidae.
GGCUUGAUGGUGUAGUGGUUAGCACUGCUGCCUCACAACAAGGAGGUUAUGGGUUUGAAUCCAAUCUGGAGCCU